GAUAAACGCUGGCGGCGUGCAUUACCAAUGCGAGUCGUGCGAUCUUUCUUCGGAAAGGAAGCGGCGUACGGGUGCGUAACACGUGGGUGACCUGCCGUGAUGUGGGGGAUACCCGCCCGAAAGGGUGGCUAAUACCGCAUGAGCUUUCUGAUCUUGUUUGGAAAGCAAAGCCUGCAAGGGCGCAUUACGAGGGGCCUGCGGCCUAUCAGCUUGUUGGUGGGGUAAUGGCCUACCAAAGCGACGACGGGUAGCCGGUCUGAGAGGACGGACGGCCACAGUGGGACUGGGACAUGGUCCACAGCUCUACGGGGUUUAGCAUGGAGGAAUCUUGCGCAACGGUCUAACGACCGGCGCAGCAACGCCGCGUGGGGGACGACGCGUCUCGGCGUGUAAACCCCUGUUGCUCGGGAAGAAGUACUCGUGGGGAGAUCCUGCGAGGAAGACGGUACCGGGCGAGGAAGCACCGGCUAACUACGUGCCAGCCGCCGCUGUAAG
Molecule: ribosomal RNA, 495 nt
Filed under: uncultured bacterium
Lineage: Bacteria
Description: bacterial SSU rRNA
Rfam family: Bacterial small subunit ribosomal RNA
Source: RNAcentral